Molecule: ribosomal RNA, 253 nt
Filed under: uncultured bacterium
Lineage: Bacteria
Description: partial 16S ribosomal RNA
Rfam family: Bacterial small subunit ribosomal RNA
Source: RNAcentral
UACGAAGGGGGCUAGCGUUGCUCGGAAUUACUGGGCGUAAAGCGCACGUAGGCGGCUCUUUAAGUCGGGGGUGAAAUCCUGGAGCUCAACUCCAGAACUGCCUUUGAUACUGAAAAUCUUGAGUCCGGGAGAGGUGAGUGGAACUGCGAGUGUAGAGGUGAAAUUCGUAGAUAUUCGCAAGAACACCAGUGGCGAAGGCGGCUCACUGGCCCGGUACUGACGCUGAGGCACGAAAGCGUGGGGAGCAAACAGG